CCUACGGGCGGCAGCAGUGAGGAAUAUUGGUCAAUGGGCGAGAGCCUGAACCAGCCAAGUCGCGUGAAGGAUGACGGCCCUACGGGUUGUAAACUUCUUUUGUCAGGGAGCAAUUGAGUCCACGUGUGGGCUUAGCGAGAGUACCUGAAGAAAAAGCAUCGGCUAACUCCGUGCCAGCAGCCGCGGUAAUACGGAGGAUGCGAGCGUUAUCCGGAUUUAUUGGGUUUAAAGGGUGCGUAGGCGGAAUAUCAAGUCAGCGGUAAAAUCGUGGAGCUCAACUCCAUCCAGCCGUUGAAACUGAUGAUCUUGAGUGGGCGAGAAGUAUGCGGAAUGCGCGGUGUAGCGGGGAAAUGCAUAGAUAUCGCGCAGAACUCCGAUUGCGAAGGCAGCGGACCGGCGCCAGACUGACGCUGAGGCACGAAAGCGUGGGGAUCGAACAGGAUUAGAUACCCCUGUAGUC
RNAcentral lists this ribosomal RNA (460 nucleotides) under uncultured bacterium. RNAcentral describes it as "partial 16S ribosomal RNA". It matches the Rfam family "Bacterial small subunit ribosomal RNA", at positions 338 to 795 of the family's 1533-position model. The record is from RNAcentral.